Molecule: RNA transcript, 3548 nt
Organism: Vanessa atalanta (red admiral)
Lineage: Eukaryota; Metazoa; Arthropoda; Insecta; Lepidoptera; Nymphalidae
Gene name: protein Son-like
Exons: 13
Source: RefSeq, a predicted model, not a curated record
AUUGUUUGAUGUAGUUAUUAAUGUUUUGCUUGUGAACAAAAAUAAAACGUGUGUAAAAUUAUUCAUAGACUAUAUUUUCAUCACCUAAAAAUAUGGCUACUUUAAUUGAUAAAAUAGAAAUGUUAAUUAAAAGAGAAAAGACUACACCAGAACGAAAGAAAGAUGACACCACAAAGUCCUCGAGUGAGAUACUUUCCGAACUAUUUAGUGCCUUUAAUGCCGACCCACCGAAAAUUGACGAAAUUCCUCAUAAGAAAUCUAAAAAAAGUAAAAAGAAACAUAAAAAGGAAAAAAAGAAGCGUAGUCGUAGUGUAAGUUCGGGUAGUGAAUCGGAAAAGAGUGAAUAUUCUCACAAAAGAAAGAAAAGAAAAAAGGCUAAAUCAAAGAAACGAAAGGAAGUGCGAUCUCCUUCAAACUGCCGUUCAGGAACACCCGAAAUAAUAAAACCUAAAACAGAACUACUCAAAACAAAGAUCAAAAAAGAAUCUAUCCAAUUCAAACCUGAAUCUAAAAUUAAAAAGGAAAUCAAAAUCAAUAAAGUACCGGAUAACAAGGUACCUGUUAAGACUGUAGAUUCCAACAAUACAAAUUCCUCUUUGAAUAUAGAUGCAAGCAUGAUACCAAUGCCAGAAUCUCCAAAGGAAAUAAAACUUGAAUCUAAUGAUCUCCGAAUACAGCUGGACAAAAAGAUUGAUACCACAACAGAAAGUGACAAGGCAAAAGGAAAAAUUCAAAUAAAAAACUUAAAAUUUAGUGCAGUGUUUGAAGAAACAGUUAAAAAAGCAGAAGAAGAAGCGAGAAAGAAAGCUGAAAAGGUUGAGGAGGGUGAAUAUACUGAUUCAUCAAGUAGUUUAGAAAGAGACGAGGAGUCUAAUUCACAAUUCCCCAAGUCUUCAGAUCCUGGUGGUAUAUUAAAACAGCAGGCUGCUGAGGAAGUCAAAGUUCCUGACAAGGUGAGCACUGAAGAUAAGUCUUCCAUUAAACAAAAGCAAACAGAAAGUACAAACAAGCCUUCAAAAAAAGAAAGGAGUCGAUCCAGAAAGAGAUCCCGCAGCAAGUCCAGACGUUCCAGAUCUCACUCGACAUCACGGCGUAGACGCCGUAGAUCACGGUCAAAGUCAAAGCGUAGAAGUCGUUCCAGGCACAGAUCUAGAUCAAAACGGAGAUCUAAAUCAAGAUCGCGGCACAGGUCUUCCUCAAAAUCACGCCAUAGAUCCUCGUCGAAAUCACGACACAGAUCUUCCUCGAAAUCACGACAUAGGUCUAGACAUCAUUCACCGAGACAUAGGGGUCGGAGAUCGAGAUCACCAACAGGUGUAAAAUUAGCUGAUAGUGAAAAGAAACGUCUUCUUGAAGUAGCAAGGCGAAACGCAAUCAACAUGCUUAAAAAUGGUGCUGUACCAGCUGGAGCAGCUGUUUUGCCUCCACACACAAGAAAUCAAGUCAUGGCUGCCAUACAAUCUGGAGGUAAAUCUGUGGAUGAACUGACAGACUUCUGCAAGCAUCUAUCAAAAAAAGAAGCACUCGGUGAACUGUCAUCUGUCUCCUCUAAUGAUGAUAACAUGAGUGAGAAUGAAGAUACCAUAGCAUUUCAUCAUCCCUUCUUAGUCAAAGAAAAGGCUCCUAUUGUUAUGAAUAUAAGAGGUGGGGCCCCUCUGCCAGCAAAAUCCUCUAUACUGCCAAUAGCCAAUAAAGAAGAACUUCGACUUCAGUUUCCUGUGUCUUCUGGUACACAGCAUAGAGAAAAAGCAUCAGAAUGGGUUCCCGUUUCACCUAAAAAAGACAUGCAAGUUGCAAAGCUGAAUGCCAAAUCACCAACAAGAUCCACCACACCUCCAGAACCAUUUAGUAUAUGUUCUGCCCCAUUGGCGCUUCCUGCGCCGCCGUCGACUUCUCCUUCAUACUUGAAGAGUUUUACAACAGGGAGCCAGCUAUCAUCUGUUCCUGCUUUACCAGCUCCCGGUCCUCAGGCAUAUCCCCCUGGUGUAGAUUCUCCAAUUAUCGAUGUGGAGUCAAUCGUUUCCCAGAAGUUACUAAUGAUUCGUAAAGAACAGGAACAAAAUGAACUAGAUAAUACACAAGGUGUAAUAUCGCUCCCGCAGUUCGGCUGGACGAAGGAGAGUCGGCCGGGCCAGUUCACGGGCUCCACGGGCGCGCACAUCCUCACGCCGCGCGAGCUCGCCAGCGGCACGCAGGCCUGGGCCAAGAAGCUCGGAUCGCCGUUCGGGAUACGGGUUAUCUACUCAAUGGUCCGGCGGCCUCAGUCAGAAAUUAUAAUACUAUGUAUUAUUCUUUCUGACUUUAUAAAUAUUUUGUGAUGGUUAUGACAACAUUGCUUACAACAUUAGUUUUGUUAUAUGCUAAUACUAACUAUUCCCCGCCACCUUCGCUGGGCGUUAACAAAAAAAAUGAUCCAUUUUGAUAAUAUUAGUAACAAUAUGCUAAACUCUAUUUAAUGCUCAUUCAAAGCAAAGGCUUCUUCUGUUCAACACACACGGCGCGAGAUUUACUCUUGUAAUUAUUAUUCGUAUUCAUUCCCACCACAAUAAUGUUUUCACAAAAUUAGGUAACGAUAAAUUAUAUUUAUUUAAACAAAUACUGUAAAAAUUAUCAAGCUUAAUUUACCUUUGGUGAAGUUUCAUACGACAGAGUCUCAAAUUAAAACUGAAAAUAAUAAUAUUCCUGUAUCAAAUGUAUACAAAUAAAAUAUUAAUUACUUGUUUAAAAAAGUUCUGAUGUUUUCGUUUAAUAAGGAAUGUAUUUCAGCAGCUAAUGUUGUUGUAACCAUCUAGUUAAAAACCCGAUUUACUCACGUCAAGUGUAAAGAGAGAACUUUUUUAGUUCGCUCAUUACACUCUUAAGUUACUGUAAUUGCACAAGAUGGUAAUUUUCAUGCCAUAGAUUAUGGCAUGUCAUUUAUCAUUGCCAUUAUUGCAUACAGAUAUUCAGUUUUCCCCUUCUUAUAAGACUGGCUAAUAAAAAAAACAGUAUUAGAAACACAAAUAUAUAUAUAACUUAAGGGUGGAGUUAUCAUAAAAGAAAGUUAACACUAUUUCAUAUAAUAUUUUAAAUAAUAAUAUUUGACUGUUUAAUUGGUAACCCAUGCCUUCAAUACACUUCACUCUGUAUAUAAAAGUUCGAUUGUUCUUGAAAGAAGCAUAAAAAUUACAGAUAUGCUUUAGAUUAUAUUUUAAAUGAAUAUAAAUUAAUUUUCUUUUAUGGAUCUAUUUUUAUAAAAUAAUUGAUAUUCGUAUGAUUAAGCAAUCACAACUUGCCCAAGCACUGUUUAACUUAGUCAGUCCAUGUACAUUAUAUAGUCUAGUGAUUUUUUGGAUAAAAUCAACCGGUCUCCAAGAUAAACUAGGCUUAAAUGGGGAAAUCUUGAAUAUUUGUUGCAGCUUUUAAAAGAUAAGGAGACGCGAGCACUUCGAUAGACGCACCGCCGUCGACCAUAGGUGCAAAUAAUGUACCCGUUGCAAAGGAUCAACUAGUUCGUGCUGCGCCUGUUGAAGGCGGUAUGGGGAUGCAACUUCUUCAGAAGAUGGGUU